UCCAGACUCCUACGGGAGGCAGCAGUGGGGGAUAUUGCACAAUGGGGGGAACCCUGAUGCAGCGACGCCGCGUGGGUGAAGGAGCGUUUCGGCGCCUAAAGCCCUAUCGGCAGGGAAGAAGGAGGACGGUACCUGACUAAGAAGCCCCGGCUAACUACGUGCCAGCAGCCGCGGUAAUACGUAGGGGGCAAGCGUUAUCCGGAUUUACUGGGUGUAAAGGGGGCGCAGACGGCAGCGCAAGCCAGGAGUGAAAGCCCGGGGCCCAACCCCGGGACUGCUCUUGGAACUGCGCGGCUGGAGUGCAGGAGGGGCAGGCGGAAUUCCUGGUGUAGCGGUGAAAUGCGUAGAUAUCAGGAGGAACACCGGUGGCGAAGGCGGCCUGCUGGACUGCGACUGACGUUGAGGCCCGAAAGCGUGGGGAGCAAACAGGAUUAGAUACCCGAGUAA
This 447-nucleotide ribosomal RNA is filed under the name uncultured bacterium. Its description in RNAcentral is "partial 16S ribosomal RNA". It matches the Rfam family "Bacterial small subunit ribosomal RNA", at positions 330 to 793 of the family's 1533-position model. The record is from RNAcentral.